GACGAACGCUGGCGGCGUGCUUAACACAUGCAAGUCGAGCGGAGCGGCGAACGGGUGAGUAACGCGUGAGUAACUGCCCCCCUCUCUGGGAUAACAGUUGGAAACGGCUGCUAAUACCGGAUCGUGGGGGAUGACUCGCGUCCUAUCUGCGUGUUGGUGGGGUAGUGGCCUACCAAGGCGACGACGGGUAGCCGGCAUGAGAGGGCGACCGGCCACAUUGGGCUGAGAUACGGACCAAAGGCGUACGGGGGGCAGCAGGGGGGAAUAUGGCACAGUGGGGGAACCCCUGAUGCAGAAACGCCGGGGGCGUGAUGACGGCCUUCUGGUUGGAAACCGCUUUCAGCCAUGACGCGGUAGUGGCAGAAGAAGCACCGGCUAACUACGUGCCAGCAGCCGCGGUAAUAC
This 405-nucleotide ribosomal RNA is filed under the name uncultured bacterium. Its description in RNAcentral is "partial 16S ribosomal RNA". It matches the Rfam family "Bacterial small subunit ribosomal RNA", at positions 28 to 526 of the family's 1533-position model. The record is from RNAcentral.